Molecule: ribosomal RNA, 253 nt
Filed under: uncultured bacterium
Lineage: Bacteria
Description: partial 16S ribosomal RNA
Rfam family: Bacterial small subunit ribosomal RNA
Source: RNAcentral
UACAGGGGGUGCAAACGUUGCUCGGAAUCAUUGGGCGUAAAGCGCACGUAGGCGGUUCGUUAUGUCGGAUGUGAAAGCCCUUGGCUUAACCGAGGAAGUGCAUCCGAAACUGGCGAGCUAGAGUACUAAAGAGGAUCGCGGAAUUCCCGGUGUAGAGGUGAAAUUCGUAGAUAUCGGGAGGAACACCGGUGGCGAAGGCGGUUCUCUGGGCCUGUACUGACGCUGAGGAGCGAAAGCGUGGGGAGCGAACAGG